RNAcentral lists this ribosomal RNA (492 nucleotides) under uncultured bacterium. RNAcentral's name for it is "partial 16S ribosomal RNA". It matches the Rfam family "Bacterial small subunit ribosomal RNA", at positions 29 to 507 of the family's 1533-position model. The record is from RNAcentral.
AGUGAACGCUGGCGGUAGGCCUAACACAUGCAAGUCGAACGGCAGCACAGUAAGAGCUUGCUCUUACGGGUGGCGAGUGGCGGACGGGUGAGGAAUACAUCGGAAUCUACUUUUUCGUGGGGGAUAACGUAGGGAAACUUACGCUAAUACCGCAUACGACCUACGGGUGAAAGCAGGGGAUCUUCGGACCUUGCGCGAUUGAAUGAGCCGAUGUCGGAUUAGCUAGUUGGCGGGGUAAAGGCCCACCAAGGCGACGAUCCGUAGCUGGUCUGAGAGGAUGAUCAGCCGCACGGGAACUGAGACACGGUCCAGACUCCUACGGGAGGCAGCAGUGGGGAAUAUUGGACAAUGGGCGCAAGCCUGAUCCAGCCAUACCGCGUGGGUGAAGAAGGCCUUCGGGUUGUAAAGCCCUUUUGUUGGGAAAGAAAAGCAGCAGGUUAAUACCCCGCUGUUCUGACGGUACCCAAAGAAUAAGCACCGGCUAACUUCGUG